CUCGCCUGCCGCCAUGUAAACGUUCUUUGCUCCUGCUUCGUCUUCUGCCGUGAUUGUGAGGCCUCCCCAGCCAUGUGGAACUACUCAUCACUCACUGCAGAUGUUACUUUAAGACAUUCUGGAGCAGCGUCAUGUGCAGGUGCGUAGUGCCUCCGCCCAUCUCUCUCUUGCUCCUGGUCUCAUCGUGACGGGCCUGGUCCUGCCUCACUUUAUGCCACGACUAAGAGCUCCCUGAGGCCUCUCCAGAAGCAGAUAUCACUAUGCUUCCUACACAGCCUGCAGAACCUUCUCUUGCCUGCCACCAUGUAAGAUAUGCUUUUACUCUUCCGCCUUCCACCGUGACUGUGAGGCCUCCCCAGCCAUGUGAAACUGCCUUUGAGCUUAUACUGAAUUAUACCACCAGCUUUCCUAGGUCUUGAAGCUUACAGACAGCAGAUCUUGGGACUUCUCAGGCACCAUAAUCAAUCAUAGAUAAAUGAUCCAAUGAUUCGGAACUUGAAAAGUGGUAGCUUUAUGAAUUCUCCUUAAGAAGAAACCUGUGCCCUGAUCUUGCCUACUCACCCAAAGGCACUGUGAGAUAGCAUCAAAGGAACAGCUAGUAAGAGACACAGAGCCAGAAAUCAGGGAAGUAAAAUACACUUGACAUCUACGUUCGGAAAGAAAUUUUAGGAGGCAGAAGCAAAUGGAUCAGAAGCUGCUUAUAUUUUUGCAAGAUUACCAAAGAAACCAUUGGUGGAGAAAGUUCUGUGACCAACUUGUCUGAGUCUAGUAAGAUUGAACGCUCACACACAAGUUUCAUGAAGUGGGUUUGAUACUUACAGAUAAGCAGCAAGGACCAACAGAAGCUGAUGAUCUAUGGUGAACUUUUUCCCAAGGCUCCGGAAAGCUGCCUAAAGUAGAUGGAGUCUUCUCUGUGUGUGCCCCACUGGUCCUGCAGUUGAAGGAUCCGGUAAAGCAGCCUGCCCUUGGUUUUAUACUCCAGAGGAACGUGAUUCGCUGGACUAAAGCAUUGAAGUGCAUCCUGUUUCCGGGGGGCACUGGAACAGAGCCUGGUCUGUUCUAGCCAGUCCCUUUCUAUCUCAGGAUAACAUUCUACAGUUAUUCUUGAGAACUAUAAUCAAAUAAGCAGGGAGAACUGGGAAAGCAGAGGCUCAUUGUGGAACCCUCAAGGAGCAUGGGGUCGUCUUCAUCCCUCAGUUUAUAAAUGGCCAAGGAGAGUAAUGCAACAAAAACUUCUCAGAGUUAAAAGCCAGAGUUCCUAAAGAACCGUGGACAAAGGGUUCUGUCUAGUGGGCAGAAUUCAUCCAGCGAAGGUGCUUACUGCACUCCCAGCAUGUGCUUGGGAACUUUAUUAAAAUUCCUUCCUAUUGAGAUUUAAAUUGCUGUCCAGAAUUAUACAAUAUAAUGAAUGGGGGCAUUCAUUAUGUGUAUUCUAUGCCUUCUCCAUCAUUGCAUAUUCAGUCCUCGUGCUAGAGAGAGGCAGAUAAUCUACCUUUUAAAUUGAUAGGUCUCCUAACUACAGAGGGUCACAUCUGGAUCUGAUGGCACCUACAGAACUUGGACUCUGAGCGACAAUCAGUGACCAGGAAAUUUGGAACCCAGGUUUUCCCAACCUACAUCUACAAAAUGGAAUGGGUCUGAUUCGCAAGUUUUCAGAGAAAGAAGCCAACCUUAAUCAGACUGUGAUAUGAUGAGGAAAUAAAACUUGCUGUGCUAAUCAACUGAUACUGGGAAGCAUGUUUAUUAUAAUAACAUAGUCUAUGCUUAACUUUUCUAAGAAACUAAUGAUCUGGAAUAUCGAUAAAAAGAAAAAAGAAAGAAAGCAAAA
This is a long non-coding RNA of Homo sapiens (human), 1828 nucleotides long. Ensembl annotates it as long intergenic non-protein coding RNA 2241. NCBI's taxonomy places the organism in Eukaryota, Metazoa, Chordata, Mammalia, Primates, Hominidae. The record is from Ensembl.